Molecule: long non-coding RNA, 2811 nt
Filed under: Sus scrofa (pig)
Lineage: Eukaryota; Metazoa; Chordata; Mammalia; Artiodactyla; Suidae
Description: lncRNA (ENSSSCG00040029359.1)
Source: RNAcentral
UAGGUUAAGUUGUUGAUUUGAGAUUUUUCUUCUUUUCUGAGGAAGGCCUGUAUCACUAUGAACUUCCCUCUAAGCACUGAUUUUGUGGCAUCCCAUAGAUUUCAAAUGGUUGUGUUUUCAUUAUCAUUUGUAUCAAGGUAUUUUUUAAUUUUCUUUGUGAUUUCCUCAUUGACCCAUUAGUUUUUUAAGUAGCAUGUAAUUAGUUUUCUCUCAUUUCUUUUCCUGUGGUUGAUUUCUAGUUUCAUGCCGUUGUGGUCAGAGAAGAUACUUGAAAUAAUUUCUAUACUCUUAAAUUUGCUAGGGUUAGUUUUGUUCCCCAGUAUGUGGUCAAUCCUUGAGAAUGUACUGUGUGCACUUGAGAAGAAUGUAUAUUCUUAUUUUUUUGAAUGUAAUGUCCUGAAAAUGUCAAUUAAGUCUAACUUUUCUACUGUGCCAUUUAGGAUCUCUGUUGCCUUAUUCAUUUUCUGUUUAGAGGAUCUGUCCAUUGAUCAAUAUGUUUUCUCCAGGAGGGCGUAGGUGGUUGCCAAGAUAUUGUUUUAGACUACAGUAAGCUGGGAUAAGAUCUUUCCAACUCAUCCAAAAUAUUUAACCCAAAAGAGCUGUUCCAAAGAACUGCAAUGACCAAAUCCACUCUGAACAAAUGACAGGGAGUGGUGCAGUGUAGAUAGAUCACAAGCUAGUUCUUCCUGGGAAAAUCAUCGAGAGUUAAAAUGAAAGGAAGUAAACCAUGUCACAACUUGCAUACACUGUCAUCAGAGUUUCCAAGUAAGAGACACGUGGCUUCCAGACAACCAAGUGAGAUGAGACUGAGGCUUUCAGCAGAUGACCUGAACGAUUUCUCUGAAGGGCUUCACACCCACACUCUUUUGAAUGCUUUAUUUAAAAAAGUUAGUGGCAAAAUGCUUUUGGAAUUUAAACAACAACAAACCUCUCAACAUUUGCUACUGUCAAGUUAUAUUUUAAGUAAUUAUAAAAAGACUUAAUACCUGCAUAUUUGAUAAUGGUAAAUAGCAGCAGAAAUUACAUUACAUUAUUUUUCAUUGGUGGAAUUAUUCUGAACUAAUUUUUGCAGAGAGGAACAGUAAUGAGGAAAGAGAAGACCUAUAUACAUAGUUAUACAAGGAUGAAGAUUUUGAAUUCAUAAACUGUCACUUUUUAAAAAAAAUUUUUACAGCCACAUCUGCUGCAUAUAAAGGUACCCAGGCUAGGGGCUGAAUUGGAGCUGUAGCUGAGGCCUACAUCAUAGACACAGCAACACCAGAUCCGAGAUAUGACUUAUGCCAUAGCUUGAGGCAAAGCAGAAUCCUUAACCCACCGAGUAAGGCCAGGGAUCAAACCUAUAUCCUCACAGAGACAACAUUGGGUCCUUAACCUGCUGAGCCACAAUGGAACUCCUGAAUUGUGACAUUUGAACACACUCCUUCUCUAACUUCUCUAUUAAAAUAGUAGUGCAGUACAGUAGUGCAUGUUCUCAGUAGAAAAAAGAGCAGGUAAAUUAAAUAUGCAAACACAUGAAAUAGGGAAAUAUAAUGGAAGUUCAAAAUCUUGCCAUCCAAAAAGACUGUCGGACAGAAUCCAUAAAUAUAACUGCUGCUUGUUUAAGCCAUAUGUGUGCUGACAUCACAGAUCUGGUCAUCAAAAUUUGAUUCUGAAAUCAUAUUAUGCCAGCUAUUUAGCUACCUUCACAAUACACCCUGCCCUCAAUAAAUUCACUAUUUUCUCAUUUGUAAUCUAGAAAAGGCUCCAAAAAACAGUGAGGCUCAUUGGAAUAUAGACCUUUUGCCCCACACAUGCAACUGAGAAAUUCAACUAUAUUUUAUGGAAAUGUAUUUAAAACAUAUAUUUUCAAAUGCAGAGUCUUUUCUGUUCAUCCCAUGUUUGUUAUCCAUAUAUUAAAUUAAUGGUUACCUGGGCUUACCUCAACUUUCUCUAUCUGCCUAACCCCAGGUACCCAUCUUCAAUAUUCAGCUUAGGUUAUAAACCCUUUGGAUAAUUCUUUUUUAAUACCCCCAGUUUGAUUAACUGCACCUUCUACUUAUCUUAAGGUAACACUCCAGUCUGUAUGGUGCUUACAAUUUACUCUCCUGCUUCCACCCUAGAGCACAUGUUUACGCAGGACAGUGAGCAAUUUCUAAUAUGGAUCACUUUCUCCCUAGUACCAAAGAGUAAUCCUGGCACACGGAGAGGCUCUCAAAAUAUAUAGAUGUAUGUAUUUUGAUGACCAUAAAGUUGGGUGUUAUCAUAUGUACUAAGGCUAUUUUUUUUAAGAUUAAUAACAUUAAAAAUGAUUUUGCAUGCUGAAAGUCAGAACCAAAAAAUCAUGUGACAUCAUUUUCAGAAACCUUAGAAAUACCUUGUAAGGUAUUUUUUUAUACCAAAGGGGGGAAAAAAGCCAUAGCGUGAACUCAUGUUUUUAGAAAGAAAAGAUUUGCCGUGAGUACCCAGAAGGAAGGUGUGCUUUGAAUGGCUGUUUUAACCCAUGACCUGAGCAGGAUUUUGCAUGAAAAGAGUAAGUGCCUGAUUAGAUGAUAUUAGUCUGAGCAAAAUAUUCCCUGUGGGUAGGUUUAAAUCUGAAUACUGAAAAAUCUGCUAUUUUAUUUUCUCAUAAACAGAGCUUGUGGAAAAUAAUUUUUAGAGAAAAAUAUGCUAAAGCAGGAUAUAGAAUUAUGCCACUGGUGAUUUGAAGAGGCAGUACUACUCACUGAAAACAGGUCAGUCUUAGAGACAAACCAUUCUGGAUUCAAAUUCCAGCUCGAUUCUUUAAUGGCUUGAACUUAUAAAAGGUAUUAAAUUCUUAAAUUUUUUUUUAAU